AGGAGCUCGUGACCAGUUUUGCCUAGAUUCAAAAGAACAUUAAAUUUCAAAGAAUUCAUUGAAAGGAAUCGAACUCCGAAGACCCGUCACAUUUAUUUUUGUUUGUAAAAGUAAAUAGGUACCUAUACUAUUGCCCCAGCAGUGGAAAUUCUCAUGUUAUCAAUAUUUAACAAAGAGGCCAUUCCCUUGCAUAUUAAAAUGAAUUAAACUAUUAAACAUGUCCGUACUAAGACAGGGUUUAAUAAUCUGGGAUGCUCGCGACAAACAAUUGCGACUUUUGUUGAUAUGACUAACUGAAACGCGUAGACGGCCAGGGUACGUUACGUUUUAAUCAAAGGUGAGUUUACAGUAGAUUUGUCGUAUCUUAAUAAGAUUGACCUAUGGCCAACGAUUAUUCCCCAUUCAAUCAGUUCCUUUCUCGGAAAACAUAUUAUAAAUGCGCUGUUAACAAUAUUGACAAAAUAACGGUCGACAUUGGUGAUUAAUGGAAAAUUAUGGAACAAAAGCGGAAGACCACAAAAUUCAACUGCUCUUAUAAUCAUAGAAGUAUGGCGUUUCCCGAAGGAACCGGUGAAUACAAAUGAUUUUGCACACAUUUGGACAUAAUCAGAAAGUAGUUACGAAAAAUCGCUACAACUACCUAGUUCGUUUUCAUUUUUUAAAAGUGCGCAAAAAAUCUUCAAAUGAAGGAGAGGCACUAUUCGGGUUUGUAUAGCUCAAUAGCUGACUCUACUUGGAAAAAGAUCAAACGUAUUAUUUCAAUGACCAAAAACUAAAUAACUUUAAUCGAUGCUUUACGAUGUUAAUUAGCAUUUUGAGAUUUAGGUUCUAUCCUUCAUGGUGCAACUGUAAGGUCCAGAGGAAAAUAAUUGUAUCAGGAACGAGAGAAGGCACUCGCAAGAGAGAAAUGGCACGUGUGAACCAGACUGGUGUGAUUAAAACUUCAACCAAAGUACUCUUUGCUUCAACUGUGAAUAGCUCGAAAAGACGAAAACGGUGGGAAGUGUGUGGUGAAACUGGAAUAAAAUGUCAUGUGGCCCCUCAUCAGGCUGUUGGGACUGUUCCUAAAAUGUUUAAUGUUAUUGCUUAUUGGUGUAGCAAUUCCAAUUUAACAUUCGUUACUACGACAGAGGUUAUAAAACGUUGAGAUGGUAGGUACUUUAUACCUAUUCAUGAACAAUACCUGAUACGGAUAAUGUACAAUGUAUUUCAGUAUGUAUUUAAACGAAUAAAUCGUGAUUGUGGCUGA
This is a long non-coding RNA of Photinus pyralis (common eastern firefly), 1249 nucleotides long. RefSeq lists it as uncharacterized. NCBI's taxonomy places the organism in Eukaryota, Metazoa, Arthropoda, Insecta, Coleoptera, Lampyridae. The transcript is spliced from 2 exons. The record is from RefSeq and is a predicted model, not a curated record.